Molecule: ribosomal RNA, 360 nt
Filed under: uncultured bacterium
Lineage: Bacteria
Description: partial 16S ribosomal RNA
Rfam family: Bacterial small subunit ribosomal RNA
Source: RNAcentral
CCUACGGGUGGCAGCAGUGAGGAAUAUUGGUCAAUGGCCGGAAGCCUGAACCAGCCAAGCCGCGUGAGGGAGGAAGGCGCAGAGUGUCGCAGACCUCUUUUGCCGGGGGACAAAAGCCCGGACUCGUCCGCGGCUGAGGGUACCUGGAGAAAAAGCAUCGGCUAACUCCGUGCCAGCAGCCGCGGUAAUACGGAGGAUGCGAGCGUUAUCCGGAUUUACUGGGGUAAAGGGGGGCGCAGCCGGCCUGUAAAGUCAGGGUGAAAAGCCGGGGGCGAAACCCCGGAACGCCGUUGAAACUGGAGGGCUGGAGUGGGAGAGAAGUAGGCGGAAUUCGUGGUGUAGCGGUGAAAUGCGUAGAUA